RNAcentral lists this ribosomal RNA (253 nucleotides) under Schizochytrium aggregatum. Its description in RNAcentral is "partial Eukaryotic large subunit ribosomal RNA". It matches the Rfam family "Eukaryotic large subunit ribosomal RNA", at positions 1018 to 1275 of the family's 3401-position model. The record is from RNAcentral. Lineage: Eukaryota; Bigyra; Thraustochytrida; Thraustochytriidae.
UGACUGGAGGAAUUGGGGGUUGUCUACUUCUGACCUAUUCUCAAACUUUUAAUGGGUAUGCUGCAGUGGUUGCUUCACUGAACCUGCAAGAAAUUCCGUGUUCAAGUGGGCCACUUUUGGUAAGCAGAACUGGCGAUGAGGGGUGAACCUGAUGAUUGGUUGAGGCACUCAACUUCGUGCUCAUCAGAUACCUGAAGGGUGUUGGCUCAUUUUGACAGCAGGACGGUGGUCAUGGAAGUCGAAAUCCGCUUGG